RNAcentral lists this transfer RNA (75 nucleotides) under Rhodospirillaceae bacterium. RNAcentral's name for it is "tRNA-Asn". It matches the Rfam family "tRNA". From Rfam's summary of the family: Transfer RNA (tRNA) molecules are approximately 80 nucleotides in length. Their secondary structure includes four short double-helical elements and three loops (D, anti-codon, and T loops). Lineage: Bacteria; Pseudomonadati; Pseudomonadota; Alphaproteobacteria; Rhodospirillales; Rhodospirillaceae. The record is from RNAcentral.
UCCGGCGUAGCUCAGUGGUAGAGCAAUCGACUGUUAAUCGAUCGGUCGUAGGUUCGAAUCCUUCCGCCGGAGCCA